This 450-nucleotide ribosomal RNA is filed under the name uncultured bacterium. Its description in RNAcentral is "partial 16S ribosomal RNA". It matches the Rfam family "Bacterial small subunit ribosomal RNA", at positions 354 to 796 of the family's 1533-position model. The record is from RNAcentral.
GUGGGGAAUAUUGGACAAUGGGCGAAAGCCUGAUCCAGCCAUGCCGCGUGCAGGAAGAAGGCCUUCGGGUUGUAAACUGCUUUUGUACGGAACGAAACGGUCCGGGUUAAUACCCUGGGCUAAUGACGGUACCGUAAGAAUAAGCACCGGCUAACUACGUGCCAGCAGCCGCGGUAAUACGUAGGGUGCAAGCGUUAAUCGGAAUUACUGGGCGUAAAGCGCGCGUAGGUGGUUUUGUAAGUUGGAGGUGAAAUCCCCGGGCUCAACCUGGGAACUGCCUCCAAAACUGCAUGACUAGAGUACGGUAGAGGGUAGUGGAAUUUCCUGUGUAGCGGUGAAAUGCGUAGAUAUAGGAAGGAACACCAGUGGCGAAGGCGACUACCUGGACUGAUACUGACACUGAGGUGCGAAAGCGUGGGGAGCAAACAGGAUUAGAAACCCCUGUAGUCC